GGAGGCAGCAGUGGGGAAUAUUGCACAAUGGGCGCAAGCCUGAUGCAGCCAUGCCGCGUGUAUGAAGAAGGCCUUCGGGUUGUAAAGUACUUUCAGCGAGGAGGAAGGGGUUAAGGUUAAUAACCUUGGCCAUUGACGUUACUCGCAGAAGAAGCACCGGCUAACUCCGUGCCAGCAGCCGCGGUAAUACGGAGGGUGCAAGCGUUAAUCGGAAUUACUGGGCGUAAAGCGCACGCAGGCGGUUUGUUAAGUCAGAUGUGAAAUCCCCGGGCUCAACCUGGGAACUGCAUUUGAAACUGGCAAGCUUGAGUCUGGUAGAGGGGGGUAGAAUUCCAGGUGUAGCGGUGAAAUGCGUAGAGAUCUGGAGGAAUGAGGUGGCGAAGGCUGCCCCCUGGACG
Molecule: ribosomal RNA, 398 nt
Filed under: Cronobacter dublinensis
Lineage: Bacteria; Pseudomonadati; Pseudomonadota; Gammaproteobacteria; Enterobacterales; Enterobacteriaceae
Description: bacterial SSU rRNA
Rfam family: Bacterial small subunit ribosomal RNA
Source: RNAcentral